CCUGCUUGAUCUCGGGACGCAACCCGUUCUCAAACUUCACACAUUUGGAAAAUUCCCCAGCAGCCUCAGCAUAGGGAGUAUAAUACUUCGACAGCUCUGUGAACUUAGCAGCAUACUCCGUAACGGACCUGUUACCCUGCUUCAAUUCCAAGAACUCUAUCUCCUUCUUUCCUCUGACAUCCUCGGGAAAAUACUUCCUCAGAAAUCUCUCUCUGAACACAGCCCAAGAAAUCUCAGCAUCUCCAGCAGUUUCCAACUCAGUGCGGGUAGCAACCCACCAAUCAUC
This 286-nucleotide long non-coding RNA is filed under the name Lathyrus oleraceus (garden pea). RNAcentral's name for it is "Pisum sativum (pea) long non-coding RNA (PSAT_LNC006955)". The record is from RNAcentral. Lineage: Eukaryota; Viridiplantae; Streptophyta; Magnoliopsida; Fabales; Fabaceae.